GGAGUGGGCCAGACGGCCGCGCAUGCUGCCGCAAGCCGGUCGGCAUGUGAGGAAAGUCCGGACUCCACAGGGCAGGAUGCCAGCUAACGGCUGGGCGGGGUGACCCGACGGAAAGUGCCACAGAAAAGAAAACUCUCCCUGCUUGUCAGUGCCUAGGCAUAGCCAGUGUCACUUGUGAUCAUAGUAGCCAGAGGCGACAUGGCUCAUUGUUAUCAGGGAGAAAAGCUGAAACGGUGCGGUAAGAGCGCACCAGCGUCGCGGCGACGCGGCGGCUUGGCAAACCCCAUCUGGAGCAAGGGCGAAUAGGAGCGCUAUAGGUCGGCCCGGCCUGCGCUCGGGUAUGCCCGCGAGAGGGCGCCGGUGACGGCGCUCCCAGAUAAAUGGCCGUUCUCGACAGAAUCCGGCUUAUCGGCCCACUCCGCCU
This 424-nucleotide RNase P RNA is filed under the name Coriobacteriales bacterium. Its description in RNAcentral is "RNase P RNA component class A". It matches the Rfam family "Bacterial RNase P class A". Rfam says of the family: Ribonuclease P (RNase P) is a ubiquitous endoribonuclease, found in archaea, bacteria and eukarya as well as chloroplasts and mitochondria. Its best characterised activity is the generation of mature 5'-ends of tRNAs by cleaving the 5'-leader elements of precursor-tRNAs. The record is from RNAcentral. Lineage: Bacteria; Bacillati; Actinomycetota; Coriobacteriia; Coriobacteriales.